GACGAACCGAGCGAACGUUGUUCGGAAUCACUGGGCUUAAAGGGCGCGUAGGCGGGUGCUCAAGUCCGGGGGGAAAUCCUCCAGCUCAACUGGAGAACUGCCUCGGAUACUGGGUGCCUCGAGGGUGGCAGGGGUAUGCGGAACUAUCGGUGGAGCGGUGAAAUGCGUUGAUAUCGAUAGGAACUCCGGUGGCGAAGGCGGCAUACUGGUCCACUUCUGACGCUGAGGCGCGAAAGCCAGGGGAGCAAACGGG
RNAcentral lists this ribosomal RNA (253 nucleotides) under uncultured bacterium. RNAcentral describes it as "partial 16S ribosomal RNA". It matches the Rfam family "Bacterial small subunit ribosomal RNA", at positions 524 to 776 of the family's 1533-position model. The record is from RNAcentral.